Molecule: long non-coding RNA, 1181 nt
Organism: Ceratitis capitata (Mediterranean fruit fly)
Lineage: Eukaryota; Metazoa; Arthropoda; Insecta; Diptera; Tephritidae
Exons: 2
Source: RefSeq, a predicted model, not a curated record
AGUUACUGUCGGCACGUCUUAUCGAGUGCAAUGUUAAGUUGUGUGGUUAAGAUUUCGAUAAUACGUACAUCUUUCUCGUGGCGAGGUCGAGUGGUUGAUAGCGGAAUGAUUAAGACGUAGCAUUAUGGAAUAAGCGUGGGAGUUUUUUAAGUGCUGUUAAUGGGUAUUACAUGGUGUUUUUGGGGGGCGUUGCUUGUAUUUUGAGGGCGUGAAGUGUUGUUACACUUUGGCACGCGUGUCGAUUUAGUUUCUCCAAAUGCAGUAAUUUGUGACUUACAUAUGUCAAUUAUAUUGUUAAGGCCAAAUUAUGUACAAGUGUAUGUGUUUGGGAACAUUCGGUCAAAUAGCGCACUUUGUAAUAUAAAAUAUUUCUUGGAGUGAUUAAUCGUAAAGUGAUUGAGAAUCUCCAUCUCUACUGAACCCAGUUUUCUAACCUGAGUUCAACAAAUGUUAAGCCGACGUCAACAUACAUACACACUUACACACACACAUAAUUUUAUACUUUUACCCAACACAAUGCAACAAAGGAGAACCUCAAAUAAUGAGAAUAAAGAGCGGCAGCUGCAUUUUAAUUCACUUGGUUUGCCACAGCCUUACGAGUUCAAUAAGCACACAUGUGCAUUUCCAUGCAUAUUUCCAUAUACAUACAUACCUAUGUGUAAAGAAAUUUCAGUCAAUGCUAGUAUAAGUAACCGUCUAACAACUAUAGGUGACGGAACAUAGCGCACCGAGCCUCUAUGCGAAAACAAUUGGAGGGAGGAUAAUGUGUGAAGGGAACAUGAAGGAUUCCGGAUAAGAGGUAAUAAGUUUUAGACAAGGGUGUGCGGACGGCGCACAUUAACAAUUGAGAUAAAUAAUAUUAUAUGAAUGUUUAUGGUAAGGGGAGAAUAUGAAGACCAAGGAAAAAAUAAAAAAUUUAAAACAAGCAUAAGUAUUGUUGCAAUCAUGUGUUGCUUUGAAGAUUUAGUUGAAAGGGGAUGAAAAUGUAAUGGCAAAAUUUUGGCAAAGUAAGCAACAAUGUUCGAAGAAAAUUUAGGCGCACAGUGGUGCAAAAUAGUGCUUAACAUAUGUUUUUUAAACUUAGAAAACCGUGGUCAAUUUCAAAACUGUAAUAGUUGUAUAAAUAUAAUUAAUUUUUAAGUCAUAAAUGCAUUCAAAAUAAAAUCGAAAUUUAGUUUCCA